AGUGAACGCUGGCGGUAGGCCUAACACAUGCCAGUCGAACGGCAGCACAGUAAGAGCUUGCUCUUACGGGUGGCGAGUGGCGACGGGUGAGGAAUACAUCGGAAUCUACUUUUUCGUGGGGGAUAACAUAGGGAAACUUACGCUAAUACCGCAUACGACCUACGGGUGAAAGCAGGGGAUCUUCGGACCUUGCGCGAUUGAAUGAGCCGAUGUCGGAUUAGCUAGUUGGCGGGGUAAAGGCCCACCAAGGCGACGAUCCGUAGCUGGUCUGAGAGGAUGAUCAGCCACACUGGAACUGAGACACGGUCCAGACUCCUACGGGAGGCAGCAGUGGGGAAUAUUGGACAAUGGGCGCAAGCCUGAUCCAGCCAUACCGCGUGGGUGAAGAAGGCCUUCGGGUUGUAAAGCCCUUUUGUUGGGAAAGAAAAGCAGCAGGUUAAUACCCCGCUGUUCUGACGGUACCCAAAGAAUAAGCACCGGCUAACUUCGUG
RNAcentral lists this ribosomal RNA (491 nucleotides) under uncultured bacterium. RNAcentral describes it as "partial 16S ribosomal RNA". It matches the Rfam family "Bacterial small subunit ribosomal RNA", at positions 29 to 507 of the family's 1533-position model. The record is from RNAcentral.